AGGGCUGUAGCUCAGUAGUAGAGCAUCUGCUUUGCAUGCAGUUGGUCCCAUGUUCAAUCCUGGGGUGUUAUA
Molecule: non-coding RNA, 72 nt
Organism: Podarcis lilfordi (Lilford's wall lizard)
Lineage: Eukaryota; Metazoa; Chordata; Lepidosauria; Squamata; Lacertidae
Source: the annotation of a GenBank genome assembly